RNAcentral lists this ribosomal RNA (64 nucleotides) under Daphniphyllum oldhamii. RNAcentral's name for it is "partial 26S ribosomal RNA". The record is from RNAcentral. Lineage: Eukaryota; Viridiplantae; Streptophyta; Magnoliopsida; Saxifragales; Daphniphyllaceae.
AUUGUGGCCCCAAGUCAGGCGAGGCCACCCGCCGAGUUUAAGCAUAUCAAUAAGCCGGGAGGAA